This is a non-coding RNA of Notechis scutatus (mainland tiger snake), 168 nucleotides long. Lineage: Eukaryota; Metazoa; Chordata; Lepidosauria; Squamata; Elapidae. The record is from RefSeq and is a predicted model, not a curated record.
CAGGAUGGGAAGAGUCUCUGAGAAUGUUGUGCAAUUUCCUCAAACAGCGAGAUGUGAAGAUGUCAUCCAGGGCUGGUAGCUGGAGCCCGAUGAUAUUCUGGGCAGUUUUAAUGAUUCUCUGUAGAGCCUUUUUCUCCACUACAGAGCUGCUCCAAUACCAUAGAAAAA